AAAAAUGCUGAGAUAAGAAAUAGUAGCAUAGGCUAAACUGACAGAGAGGAAUCCCCUUGGCUGAAAGGGAUUUUGAGCGUAAACUGUGUGAAUGCGUCUUUGAGCACUGCCUCGAAAAAUAGUAGACGGCAGCGUGUACGCGCGUUAAAGCGUUAGGGUAUGAAUGUACCUGAGUGAAUGAGAUAACAUGAUGAUUUUUUGUCGUGUUAAUUAGAGUGGAACCGCAGAAUAUAACUUCUGCCUCUAUG
RNAcentral lists this non-coding RNA (248 nucleotides) under Clostridiales bacterium. RNAcentral's name for it is "T-box sequence". It matches the Rfam family "T-box leader". Rfam says of the family: Uncharged tRNA acts as the effector for transcription antitermination of genes in the T-box leader family. T-boxes are found upstream of many aminoacyl-tRNA synthetase genes and some amino acid biosynthetic genes usually in Gram-positive bacteria. Lineage: Bacteria; Bacillati; Bacillota; Clostridia; Eubacteriales. The record is from RNAcentral.